Molecule: ribosomal RNA, 301 nt
Filed under: uncultured bacterium
Lineage: Bacteria
Description: partial 16S ribosomal RNA
Rfam family: Bacterial small subunit ribosomal RNA
Source: RNAcentral
CAGUAGCCGCGGUAAUACGUAGGUGGCAAGCGUUGUCCGGAAUUAUUGGGCGUAAAGGGCUCGCAGGCGGUUUCUUAAGUCUGAUGUGAAGGCCCCCGGCUCAACCGGGGAGGGUCAUUGGAAACUGGGAAACUUGAGUGCAGAAGAGGAGAGUGGAAUUCCACGUGUAGCGGUGAAAUGCAUAGAGAUGUGGAGGAACACCAGUGGCGAAGGCGACUCUCUGGUCUGUAACUGACGCUGAGGAGCGAAAGCGUGGGGAGCGAACAGGAUUAGAUACCCCGGUAGUCCCUGUCUCUUAUAC